RNAcentral lists this transfer RNA (97 nucleotides) under Moesziomyces antarcticus. RNAcentral describes it as "Pseudozyma antarctica tRNA". It matches the Rfam family "tRNA". Rfam says of the family: Transfer RNA (tRNA) molecules are approximately 80 nucleotides in length. Lineage: Eukaryota; Fungi; Basidiomycota; Ustilaginomycetes; Ustilaginales; Ustilaginaceae. The record is from Rfam by way of RNAcentral.
UCCCAGUUAGUACAACGGUCAGUAUACGGCACUUUCAUCGCACCGCAAGGUGGACUCGGGAGCUGCUGAGAUCGGGGUUCGAUUCCCCGGCCGGGAA